RNAcentral lists this long non-coding RNA (234 nucleotides) under Cyanistes caeruleus (blue tit). Its description in RNAcentral is "lncRNA (ENSCCEG00000003912.1)". The record is from RNAcentral. Lineage: Eukaryota; Metazoa; Chordata; Aves; Passeriformes; Paridae.
AUGUACCUCUUGUUGUUUGUCAGCAAGAGCAGGACAGAAGUUGCAGUUCCCACAGUUCCAGAGCUUGUUGACUUCGUAUUCUCCAGCUGUUUGAAAGAUUUUGAAGACCAUGAAGCCAAAGUGAACGCAUAUGAGUGGCUCGAGCUCCUAAAACUUCAAUUUCAUCCAGGAUUUCUCCUACCAUGAAAUUAAAUGAGUCAGUUCUAUCUUGCCAUGGGAUGUGAUCAUUCUGUU